RNAcentral lists this long non-coding RNA (36398 nucleotides) under Ananas comosus (pineapple). RNAcentral describes it as "long non-coding RNA (ACOM_LNC028743)". Lineage: Eukaryota; Viridiplantae; Streptophyta; Magnoliopsida; Poales; Bromeliaceae. The record is from RNAcentral.
AACUCCGCGGGGGACGCGUGGUUCGACGUGUUCGCCUCCUUCCCCGCCGCCGCCCACCUCUCCCCCUUCCUCCCCGGCUCCCUCUUCGACGCCCUCUCCUUCCACCUCGACAAGGCCAUCGCCGAGCGACCGCCCCCGCACCUCUCCGACGCCGUCCUCUACAAGCAGGAGCUCACCAUCCUCGACANGCUCCACCUUCCUCUCCCGCAGCUUCUCCCUCGGCCCCUCCUUCCCACAAGGCCAUCGCCGAGCGACCGCCCCCGCACCUCUCCGACGCCGUCCUCUACAAGCAGGAGCUCACCAUCCUCGACACGCACAUCCACGACGACCGGCUCGUCGCCAUCCGCGAUCUCCUCGGCGAGAUCGGCGCGGCGACGCGGCUCGCCGGCGCCAGGUGCGGCGCGUGCCACACGCUGCACCGCAGGGAGUUGGACUUCCUGAGGUUGCCCUGCUCCCACGCCUUCCACACCCACUGCAUCUUCAAAGAGUUCCGGAGCGACAUCCGAUGCCCCACCUGUCGCUGGAGAUAUCGCUAGAACGAUGCUUGAAUUUCUCUUCUUAUUAGUAAGCAUAAGCCUGCCGCACCCUGGUUCUUCGUUUUAGGGUUUUGGUUGGAGAUGGCCCAAUUUUUCUCGAAUUCUAAAAACAAAGUUAAAGUUUAGAUUAUGCAUAAUCUUAUUAAGAUUAUUUCUGAUUUUAUUAACAUUGCAUUCCUACUUGUAUUAGCAUUUAGUGAUUAUCAUCAUAAAUAUUAUAUGUUUUAUUUCAUUAAUUUGGUGCGACAGAGAAAUAUAUUUUGUAGAGAACUUUGAUUGUACUAGAAAUCUCUGUUCUGUUUUCGUCUGUGGAGGUAGACCAGUGGCCGAUUUUCUUAUAUUUUCGUGUCCGACGAAUUAAAACCGUUUUACUUUUUUCAUAACAAAUUGGUAUGAGAACAAAUCUAGUAUUCAGCGUAAGUCGUGAAUUUCUAACACAUAUAUAUAUAUAUAUAUAUAUAUAUAUAUAUAUAUAUAUAUAUAUAUAUAUAUAUAUAUAUAUUUGCUUGCAUGAGGGAUAUAAGUUUUGGUGUUUGAAUUGAAGGUAAUUAAUGACUUGUUCAUGUUCUUUGAUUCUUUUGUCACUCUCUAUUGUCUCUGCGUUGCUUUCUAUCUGAUGUAAGUUUUUAGUGUGGUGAUGGUUGAUUGUUUAAUUUAAUGUUGAAAUUAUGGGGCUCAGACAAAUUUCUCCGGUGAGUGUUGGACAUGAUUUGCAACGAAUUAAUGUUCGAUGUAUGAAAGUCGGGUUUUACUUUGUUGGUUUUUUGCGGCGUUUGAUGAUGCCCCCCUUGUGUUGCCGUCGUGAUCGUCGCUUAAAAUGUGUUAGCUUUAUACUACAUGUUAUAAUCGUCGUCGACGACGACGAUCUACAUCUACGGGGGCAGGUUUGAGUUGGCAGAGAACUUGGAAACCACUCUAGCUUUACUCACCAUUGUUGAUUGCAAUUGUAUCAUUUGUGCAGACAAAAGAUUACGACGAGUCAAACAAUAAAAAUAAUAGUUUACUGUCGAAAACGACUUCACCUCUUUUCACUUUCACCCAAACAAACAAUGCAUCGACGCCAAUAUCCACAACGGGAAAGAAAAUCGAAGAAAGAGGAUAAGUAUAUACAAGCAAGCAUUAUAAUUGACACGACAAUAUUCACCAAUAAACUCGUAAAAAAAAUUCUCGGAAAAUGAUUUUUCAAGAACUAAUUAAACACCCAAAAGAGAGCUAACGAAAAUCUUUCACAUCAGCCUAAUUAAAUGGUUGCAGAACUCUUUAGGUGAGCAAAGUGUUUUCUACUGUUAAUCAUCAUAGAAAAGUUUGAGAAUAAGCUAAAUAAGCUGUAUUUGAAGGGCGUGCAUAAAAUUCUACAAAGCUCUGUAGAGGAGAAUCUCUAAUAAAGGUGCACGCAAAGUAUGAGACAUUUGCUUUCUCACUUGCUGGGACAAAGAGUAAUGCUAAUUGUGCACAGGAAGAUAAUUAAUUGUUCUUUUAAAUAGUAGAGAGAUAAGAGGACCGUGAGAGAGAGAGAGAGAGAGAGAGAGAGCACCCAAAGAUGAUUGUGUUUUAAGUAAUAGAGAGAGAAAGAGAGGAGCUGCUCUUGUUUUGUUUUAUUUGGGUAGAGUGGUCUUCCAAAGGUAACAUUUUCUUGUGUUUAAGGUGUUAGGCAGUNACGUGUGGAUUUUUUAUUGUUGAGAAUGCGUUAUCACUCCUUAACUUUGUUAUGUUGAAAUUGGCCCGAACAUUAUUUUUUUAAGCUAAAUCUUUGAAAUCAUUCCUAAACCGCUGUCUCAAUUAUCCCUGUAUAAUACUUAUGUUGAUUAUUUAUACACGAAAGAUAUUGAGAAAAAGGCUAAAUUGCUUUUUUUUUUGGCUCAUUAAUAGCAACUUUUAACUUUUAUAUAUCUUGAUUUUAAAUAUUCAUUUUAUAACUUUAAUUACUUGUUAGCUAAAAACCGCAGUUUUCGUUUAAAAUUAAUAACUAGUAGUUAAAAAACUGUUUAUUUUGAUACAAUUUAAUUCAAUUGAUUAAAAUAUUCAGAACAAAAUAUAUGAAAACUCGGAUAUUGCCCAUUAAAAAAAGAAAAAAAGAACCUUUGUAACUCUUUUCUUUUUUUUUUUGAGAAAUAGGUAGCAAGCUACCUGCUUCAUUCAUUAAGUCAAAUGAACUGAGCAUACAGAUUGGAAGCAGCUUAGGCCUCCGAGGAGCCGGCAAAAGGAGAAAAUUAAAAUAAAAGCAAAAAGGAAGAGAAAAGAAGGUCAAAGUCAUGUUCUUAAGUAAAACAAGCUUAAUUAAAAUCUAAAUAUAACUUUGAUUCUUGUAUUAACUUGUUAAUUAAUCUAAUUAAUAUAUUUAAGUCAUUAUUUAUUACUGAAAUGAUUAAGUAAUUAAUUAAUUUAUUAUUUAUAGUUAAUUAGUUUAUAAGAAUUAAUUAUUUAAUGUGUUUAUCUAAUAACUAACGUUUAUAUUGGUCAACUAGUUAAUAUUGUGGCAAUUAUAUUAAUUUCUUAACAAAUCAUCUAAUUAAUUAAAUAAUUUACAAAUUAAUUAAAAAAUUAAGUUAUAUUUUAUAAUUAAUUAAUAUUUUUUAAAUUAUCUUAUACAAUAUUCAUAGAUAAUAAUUUUUUAUUUUAUUAAAUUAAAUAAAAUUAUUUUUAAUUAAUACUUUAAUAUUAAUUAAUUAGAUAAAAUAUUAUAACUUUAAAAUUAUAAUUACUUUUAUUCUUGCUAUUACAAUCUAACUAUCCAAACAUUAUUUACCUUAUUUUCAAAAACAAUCCAAUUUUCAUUCAAACGAAAAAUUAGUCUUGCUACUACUUAUUUUCGAAAUUGUAUCGAUCUCAGGAAUAAGCAAUUUCUGCUUAUUCUUGAUCCAAACGAUUUAGAGAUUCAGUAAUUUUAGUUCUUAUAUUCAAUACUUUUAUUUAUAUUUGAACUCAAAAUAUUUUGAUACGGUCGAGGCGUGAACUUAAUUUAAAGAAGAGGAAACUAAAUAAGACUGCAAGUCUAACGAAACUCUAACUCAGGAUACUAUGCUUCGAUAUUAUAUUAAAUUAUGUAAAACAAUCGAAAAUUUAAAAAGUUUAAGUUAUCAUAUAACAAUGUUUUUAAUAUCAUAUCCAUAUUUAUAUUUAACAUGUUUGUAUGUAUUAUCGAUUGUUCUUAGCAAAAAUGGCAAAGGGCUUAGUGGUUGGUAUCCGAGAUCUCAAGUUCGAAUCCUUAUUUGAAUCCUUGUUGAUUCAAAUUUCCAACUAAGUUUAUUUUUAAAAAAAUAAACGAAGCGGAUAGCAUACUAUCUUUCUCUCUCAAAAAAAUAUAUUUAUGUGUGCGUGUUUUAUUUUUUGAAUAAAAAUUUAAAUACCAGAUGUCCCAAUUUUCAAACAUAAUUACUUUACAUUUCUAGCUAAAUUUAUUUCUGAAAUAAAUAGAAAAUAAAAAAAAAAGGAGAAUACUUAGCUUCUUCUACUUCAAAUUUUCGGAUUGAGGUGUUUGAGUUCUUUUGAAAUCAAGUGCUUUUAGUNGAAGGCUUAGCUGCUAGGUGUGGCAAUUUGCAGUAGAUCUCGUAAACUUUGUAGAUCUUUAAUUUAAAGUAUUAAAAAGCUGUAGUAAAUGGAAUGCUAAUUUUCGAGUGUUUUAACUGUUAAAAAUUGCCGACCAUACCUUAUGAACGAUCAAAUUGCCAUAUUUUCUUAAGCUUAUCCAACUUAAAAACUAUCUUUUAAGAUAAGUGAUAAAUCUAUUUCUAGUUAUUGAAACUAGAAUUUAACUUCCUAGAGUAGUAAGUAAAAAUUCUGUAGUAAGCUAAAACUGGCAAGUAAAAUACGGGCGAACUACCUGAAAUAAUACUAAAGCUUUUUAAUGCUUUAAAUAAAAGAUGUUCAAAGUUUAAGAUAUCUAAUAUAAAUUGCCUCACCUAGCAGUUAAGCCUUCGAGGUAGUAGCUUUUGUUGAAUACUCAUGCUUCCCGGGUUAUGAGUAUUAUCAUAACAUCGGGAUGAUAUAUAUAUAUAUAUAUAUAUAUAUAUAUAUAUACUCAACCUGACCCGAUGAUAAUCAUCGUUUUAGGGUAACAACGAUAGUCAAAAAAUCGGAAACCUAGUUGAGAAAAGUAAUAAAGUUUGGUAACCUAAUUUAUGAUAUUGGGUCACCUCUGGUGAGUUGGGAUCCCCCUGGUGAGUUGAAAUUGACUGAUUAUAAUAGAACUGGAAUGUUAAAAAGUAGGUUCUCAAUUUUUGAACUAUCGUUUUUCUCGCAAAAUGAUAAUUAUCAUAAGGAUUAUCGUGUCAUCGGGACGAUUAUAUAUAUAUAUAUAUAUAUAUAUACAUAUACAUAUAUAUAUAUAUACAUGUAUAUGUAUAUAUAUACAUGUAUAUGUAUAUAUAUAUAUAUAUAUGUAUAUGUAUAUACAUGUCUUUAAUGAAUUUCAUACUUGGUAAAACUUAGCCGAUUCGUUAGAAAAUUUAAAAAAAUAAAAUGACGGGUUGGAAAGUUAAACGGUCUAAACUCAAUCGGUUGCUAUAAAACUGAAAUUUUAAAUUAACGAAGCGAAUAAAAAUAAGAAUGUCUAAAUCUAUCAUAUAAAAUAUGCUAAGGGUGUUGAUGUUUAAGUCAUUUCAUUAACCGUAUUUAAAGUUUCAGUUUAUGAUAACUAACUAAGUCUAGUUUGUUUAACUUUUUAAUUUGUCAUUUUAUUUAUAAAAUUUCUAACCUAUUGACUAAGUUUUUAUCAGGUAUAUAUCAAUUCCGUUUAAGUCAUACAAAGUGGGGUUUUUCUUUAUUUAUUUAUUCUUCUAUUUUCCCUACUCUUGUUUUUAUUUCAUUAAAUAGAUCUGUUUUAAAAUGAAGAGGACGUUUGAUUGAGGGGUUUAUGGGGCACACGACAUUUUAUUACUUUAUUUUUUUUAUUAUCAGGUUGGUUUAUCUUUUUUUAAACCGGUAAGAUUUUAUCUAAGGAAUUGGGAAAACAAAAAAAAAAAAAAGACAAACCCCAAAAAUCUAAAUUUCCCGACAAAUUAAGGAACUCUUUCUCGGUUUAAACAAAAAGUUCUUUUUUAAAGAAAUACCUUUUGAGGAAAAAUUAUAAGGUAAGUAAACUAAGAUUCUUUUUGAUCGAAAAACUUAAAAAAAAAGUUUAAAAUAUUUUUUGAUCACAGAAAGAAAAGGAUUUUUCUAAGUUUUUUGCUUUUUGUGAUCAAAAAACAGUUUAAACCUAAAAAAAAAUUUUUUUCGAUCAAAAAGAAUCUUGGUUUACCUAUUUUUUUUUGAAUUUUGAUCCAAAAGGUAUUUUUUUUUGGAAAAAGUGUUUUUUAAAAUAAGGUAUGAAAAGGGAUCUUGGUUUGUUGAAGAUUAACGUUAUUAUACAAAUAGUUUAAAUAAGUAACAUAAUUAACAAUUAUACAAAUCAAAACAAAAGAUUUUCUAACUAAAUUUAAUAAUUAAAUGAUUUAAGUAGUUAGGAAACUACUCUAUCAUCGAAAACAACUUAUGAGUACGAGGGCGAUCGUACUCAUAAUAGUAUAGUAGCCGAACUCUCUCUCUCUCUCUCUCUCUCUAUAUAUAUAUAUAUAUAUAGAGAGAGAGAGAGAGAGAGAGAGUUUUGCUAUAAUACUAUCGGUAGUAAACGGAGCCGUUUACUACCGAUUUGUUUUCGAUGAUAGAGCUUCCAAAUUGAUGAUCGGCACCGUUAAAUAUGAUCUAAACUAUUUAAACUAUCUAAAAAUCAAACUUUACACAUUUUCAAUAUUAUUCUCUUGUCCAUCAAGUGAACAGAAAAAUGAAUGGCUGAAAAUGAAUAUCCUUCAAAAAGUGAUGAUACAAUUUUUUAUAUUUGAGAUCUAAAGUCUAUAUCUUAUUUUUAAUAGUUUAAAGAAUUUUUUAAUAAAAAUUUAGUUGAUUUGAACUCUUCUAUACCGUUAAACGAGCAAAUGCACCAUAUCGACCAUUAAAAUUAUAUAUUUUGUGACAUUUUGAUCGUUCAGUUAGUGAUGCCAAAAAAUCAUGAAAUUUGAUUUCUAUAUAAUUUAAAUAGUCUAGAUCAUAUUCAACGGUAUCAAUCGUCGAUUUGGAAGCUCUAUCAUCGAAAAUAAAUUGAUAGUAAACCGAGCAGUUUACUACCGAUAGUAUUCUAGCAAAACUCUAUAUAUAUAUAUAUAUAGAACUAGGCUAGAAUACUAUCAAUAGCACCAAGCUAUUAGUGCUAUUGAUUUUUUAGCUCUUGGAUUGAGAAAUGGAUGGUUAGGAUGAUGUGGGCCCCCUAGGGUUGAGUGAGUGGUUAGUUAAAUAGUAUAAUCUAAUAGGUAAAAAUAAUCAAAGGAUUAAAUCUAAUUGUGGAAAACUCGAUAGCAUCAAAUCCUUGAUGCUAUCGAUAGUACCCAGUCGGACUAUAUAUAUAUAUAUAUAUAUAGAGAGAGAGAGAGAGAGAGAGAGAGAGAGAGAGUCCAGCUACUAUGCUAUUAAUAGCACGAAGCACUUGGUGCUACCAAGUUUUCCGCCGUUCGAUAUACCCUUUUGAUCAUUUUCACCCGUUAGAUCAUACUAUUAAACCAACAUCACUCAACCCUAGGGGGCCCACAUCACCUACGCAGAUCUCUUAAUCAAUGGCCAAAAACUUGGUGCCGAUGAUUGGUGCUAUUAAUAGCUAGUGCCUUGUUAUAUAUAGUAUACUAAUUAUAUAUAUAUAAUUAUAUAUAUUAUAUAUUAUAUAUAUAUAUAUAUAUAUAAUAUAGUUGUACUAUUAUAAUCUCAAAGACUACUAUGAAGGUGGUAUACUUAAUUUUAGAGUAUACUUAGUAUGACUUUUAGAAGUUAUUCCCCUAUGGUGCUAAUCUAGGUUUUUAGCCAUUGGAUCUACUCAUGAUGAACUAAUAGUCCUUGGAUCAAACCUAUUCCACCUACACCACUAUCAUCAUCUCAAUCUCACAUCUCUUCAUCCAAUGGCUAAAAACUCAAAUGCACCCCCUCCAUGGUGCUUUUGAGAGAAUUCUAGCUCAACUCUAUAUAUAUAUAUAUUAAAAGGUUAAUAAAUUGCACCAUUAAUUCGUCGCCAAUUUUUACUAGCCAGGUUUUCAAAUUGCAGCAUAUAUAAGAAUGGACGCCGGAGAGGGGGGGAUGGCUAGCCGAGAUCAAGAGCAUCGAAUUUCUAUUCCUGAUCAUAAUAAUAAUGCUGGUGGAUCUGGUGUCAGUGUCGGCCCCGGAUUCAUUAAUGAGGAGUACCUGAGUAGUCUUCCUAGCGAUCCACCGGAUGCGGACGAGGAGUGGAUUAGAGAGAUGGAGGACAAAAUUGAUCGUGCAUUCAAAGAUUCGACAUUACUACCGGCCUGGUAUUUUAAGAAAGAAACAAAACCUAAGAUUUGCAAGCUGCCGCUGCGUGACAGGAUCUCUCAGCCAGGGUCGGAGACAGAAGGGGGGCUUUCUCAGCCAAGCGUGGUGGGAAUAGGGCCAUUUCAUCAUCAGCUCCAUCGGCAGGAUAAGAUAAGUAUUUCCGACAAGGAAAAAUUUUUGAUUGUGGGCCUCAUGAAUUCUUUGUGUGGUCUCGACUUGGCGAGCUGCCUUGUAAAGAUAAAAAAUCAAGUAGCAAAUGCUCGCAACAGCUACAAGUUAGAUGUAUCUGAUCAAAGCUCCAGUUUUAAAGAUGACAAAAGUUUCGCAGAGAUGCUGCUGCUUGAUAGCUACUUCAUCUUGUUUAUGUUGACCAUUAAGUUACGUAAAGGACUGGCACGUUACACAUUGACGCCGCCAACACCUAAUAAGUUUACAGACCCGCUUGCGUUGUCUCAAGACGACCCGUCUAAAUUUCUCGACAUCAUAUUCAACAAAGAUGAGAUCGCACUUGAUCUACUGAUCUUUGAUAACCAAGUCCCUUUCUUUGUGAUCGAGGAGCUAUUUAAGGAGCUCGAGUUGGAGAAGCCCCUCCAUGAGUGCGCCCUCGAGUUCUUCGAGACAAUCCAUCCGAGGUCCGCCCGACAUUGCAUGGACAAGAGUAUUAGUCCUCCCGAAUUCCUACAUCUACUCGAUCUUUUCCACUGGUCUCGGGUCCCACAGAACAAGUACAGCUUGCCUGAUCAACGGCAAGAUUCUAUGUACUGGGGACGCGACACUCCGAAUGCGAGGGAACUUACAGAAUCCGCAACAAUGUUUGAAAAGAAGACGAACGGCAGCUCACUAGAUUUCACAUUUCGGAGACAUUGGUUUAGAUGCAUUAUUGGGGUGUUCGACAUCCCAGAGCUACACAUCUGCAACUAUAGCAGCCUCAUCUUCCAUAACCUCAUCACCUUCGAGAUACAAUCCUCAAGCCGGGGCCGCUGCACCAUGGCCUUUUCUGCACUUAUGCGCAACUUGCUGCAAAGAGAGGAAGAUGUGAAGCUGCUUCGGCAAAGAGGCAUUUUGGCGAGCUCGUCCAUGGCCGACAGACAACUCAUUGAUCUCUUUGCGCGCUUGAGCAGAUUGACUGAAAACCAUCAAAUGCCAAAUGAUCUGUUUAACAUAUGCCAGCAGGUCCGUUCUCACCACGACAACCCAGUGAAUCAGUUCUGCGGCAGCAUCAUUAUCCGAUACUUCCCCAGCCCACUGGUCACUCUUACCGUUUUUGGUGCAAUCUUGCUUUUUAUUCCCACCCUCUUGCAGACCAUAUAUGCUAUGCUAUGAUCAGUUACUACCAUGGUUGAAUGCUCUACAUGUUUUUUUUGAGAAUUAAAAAAAUGCUCUACAUGUUAUUAUCUACAAUGAUAAUAAUUUGCUGAAAUAAAAUAUGUAUUGUACUACCAAAUCGGCUGUUGUUAUAUUAAUUUACAUGUAACAUUCCCUGUACGUUGCUACCUAGUUUGGUGUUCUUGCUUGUUAUUAAUGCAAGGGAGCUUUUUACGUGUGUGUAUAUAUAUAUAUAUGAAUUUUCUUCACACAAGUGAUUCUGGAGUACUCGAAGAGUAUAUUUAAUUUGCAUGCACCAUCAAAUAAUAUAUUUCAAAUUUCUUUAUUCUACGAUGAAAAGAGCAAAAAUAGACAUAAUUUCUUUAUUCGAAGUUAUCUUUAAUGCUAAUGAUCUCUCUUAGCCCAUGACAUCAAGUUUCUCUUAUUAAGCUGCUCCUAAGCUGGAAAACAACAAAAAGCCAAAAAUAAAAACAAAAAUAAGUAAAUAAAAUAAACGCAACUAGCUAGUGACUCAAUAUAAUUAAAAUAUAAUAUAACCAUUUCAUUUUUCUGCACCAUUACCAAACAUCAAAUUUCCCUCUCUCUCUCUCUCUCUCUCUCUCUCUCUCUCUCUCUAAGAAAAAAUGCCUUUUGUGUUCAUCAAGUAAUAAUCGCCUAAAAUUGCGACUUAGUCCCUACAGCAACAACAUAUUGCAAUUCGCUCCAUACAACGAUUCGAACGUCCUAAUCCGAGUCUAAUUCCUCUCUAUAUAUACUCUUUAGGAAUAAUUUCAUAGAUGCCCUUCUAGAAACUAUUAAUUUUAUCAAUACCCUUCUAAAAUUGAUAAUAUCACAAAUACCCUCCAAUAUGUUAAAAAUUAUCAUAAAUACCCUUCAUUAGUUAAAAUCCGUUAAGACAUGAAUGAAACGAAGUUAAAUUUUCAAAAUACCAUUUUUACUCUUUAUCUCUUAUUAAUAGUAGAAAUACUAAGAGGUAUUUCAAGAUAUUUUUUGUAAAUUUAAAUUUAAGUAUUUAAUAUAUAUAUAUAUUAAAUUAAAUUAUUAAUAUAUAUUAAUUAUUAAAAAAAUAUAAAAAUUAUAUUUUAUAUAUAGUAUGUUUUUAUCUGAUUUUGAUUUUGUUUUUUGGUUUCGGAUCUCGGUUCAGCUUCAGUUUAAAUAUAGACCAAACGUAUAAUUGAAUUUAAAUAUGGAUAAUUCUUGAACAUUUUUUUUCAUUUAAAUUUUUAUAUAUAAUUAUUUAUUCGAUAAAAUAUAAAUAGAGCCACUAGAUUUGAUAAAAUUAUCAAAAAAUUAAAAAAUUCUCAUUUUUUUAUACACCGAAAUUAGUUAAUUUUUUAAAAAAUAAAAGUUAAUGGCACAUGACCUAAAAAAAUGAAAAUUGAGGGAGCUGUUUCAAAAUGGCAUAUAGUUGAGGGGGUCUCCAUACAUUUUUAAUUAAGAGAAACUUAAGGAUAAAUAAGUCAUUUUGAAAUUUAACUCAGCUUUAACCAUUUAAUAACUAUGAUAAAGCUAACAUAACUAACAGUAGGGAUAUUGAUGAUAAUUUUCUGUAUUUACAGGAAUAUAGGUGAUAUUUUAAACUUUAUAAGGGUAUCUGUGAUAUUUAAGACUUUGGAAGGGGUAUCCAUGAAAUUGCCCCUACUCUUUAUACCUUCUCUCUUCGUCCUCGCGAGCGCGAUUAUCUCCAACUCUCUCUCUCUCCUCUAGGGAUUCGAUCCACUUCUUCUCUCCUCUAGGGUUUCGACUCCUCUAGAGUUUCGAUCCGAUCCUUCUCCAUGGCCGAAGCCGAAGCGACGGCGGAGGAGUUGAAGGAGAGGGGGCCUCGCCAUUACCAGCAAGACUAGGGUUGGGUACGUCCCCACCCCCACACCCUCCUCCUCCUCCACCGUUGUCAUCGAGAGGGUUCGCCAGUACGUCACGACGAUCAACGGCACUUCCACCCUCGACCGUCGCGGCCCCGUCGAAACCCUAGGCUCCUCCUCCUCCUGCGACGCCGCCGCGCUCCUCGCGGCCUCGCGCGCCUCCGACUAUAUGACGAGCUCCGCGGGGGACGCGUGGUUCGACGUCGUCGCCUCCUUCCCCGCCGCCGCCCACCUCGCCCCCUUCCUCCCCGGCUCCCUCCUCGACGCCCUCUCCUUCGACCUCGACGAGGCCAUCGCCAAGCUACCGCCACCGCACCUCCCCGACACCGUCCUCUACAAGCAGGAGCUCACCAUCCUCGACACGCACAUCCACGACGACCGGCUCCUCGCCAUCCGCGAUCUCCUCGACGAGAUCGGCGCGGCGACGCGGCUCGCCGGCGCCAGGUGCGACGCGUGCCACACGCUGCACCGCAGAGAGUUGGAUUUCCUGAGGCUGCCCUGCUCCCACGCCUUCCACAACCACUGCAUCUUCGAAGCGUUCCGGAGCGACACCCGAUGCCCCACCUGUCGCCGGAGAUUUCGCCGGAACGAUGCUUGAAUUUCUCUUCUUAUUUGUAAGCACAAGUCUCCCCCCUGGUCCUCCUUUUUUUUUUGGGGGGUUUUAAUUGGAGAUGACCCAAUUUUUCUCGAAUUCUGGAACCAAAACAUAAGGUUUUUUUAAUUCUAUAAAGUUAAGUUUUGAUUAUGCAUAAUCUUAUUAAGAUUAUUUUUAAUUUUUUUUUUUUUUUUUAAGAGAAGAUAAUACGCUAUCUGCUUCAUUCAUUGAAUGUAUGGACUAGGCUACAAGGGUAAGGCAACCAAGGCCCCGAGAAAGAAACAGAAAAGACACGAAAGCAAAGCGCAUUCAAAAAAAAAAAAAAAAAAAAAAAAAAAAAAAAAAAAAAAAAACAGUUUCACCUAAGUACGGAUGUGAGUAUCCCAGGAUUUCUAGUUUUAUUAACAUUGCAUUUCUACUUGUAUUAGCAUGUAUUGACUAUCAUAAAUAUUAUAUUUUAUUUUAUUAAUUUGGUGGGGUAGGAAUUUAUAGGAGAAAUAAAUUUUGCACAGCACUUUGAUUGUACUAGAAAUCUCUAUUCUGUUUUCCUGCAUGGAUGUAGAUUUUUUUAUAUUUUUGUGCCCGACGAAUUAAAACUUUUUUACUUUUUUCAUAACAAAUUGGUAUGAUAACAAAUCUGGUAUUUAGUGUAAAUCGCGAAUUUCUAACGCAUAGAUAUUUGCUUGCAUGAGGGAUGUAAGUUUCGGUGUUUGAAUUGAAGGUAAGUAAUGACUUCUUCUUGUUCUUUGAAUCUUUAUCACUCACUACUGUUUCUGCAUUGCUUUUUAUCUAGUAAAGUUGUUAGUGUGGUGAUGGUUGAUUGUUUAAUUCAAUGUUGAAAUUAUGGAACUCGACGAAUUUCUCCGGUGAGUGUUGGAUAUAAUUUGCAACAAAUUAAUGUUCGAUGUAUGAAUGUCGGGUUUUGCUUUGUUGGUUUUUGCGGAGCUUGACGAUGCCCCCUGUGUUGCCGUCGUGAUCGUCGCUUUAAAUGUGUUAGCUUUGUACAUGUUAUAAGUGAUCAGGACGACGGCGACGACGACGAUCUACAUGGGCAGGUUUGGGUUGGCAGAGAACCUGGAAACCACUCUAGCUUUACUCGCCAUUGUUGAUUGCAAUUAGCACGCUACCCGCUUCGUUUAUUUUAUUUAGAAAUAAACUUAGCUGAAAAUGUGAAUCAAUUAGGAUUCGAACUUGGGUCUCGGGUACCAACCAUCAAGCCCUUUGCCACUUGCUCUAGGGACGGUAGGUUUUACUCGCCAUUGUUGAUCGCCAUUGUUGAUUGCAAUUGUAUCAUUUGUACAGACAAAAGAUUACAUAUUUGGACUAGAAUUUACCCGUUCAAAGAGAUUUGGACAAGAAUAUUUUAAUUUCACUUUCAGUUUGGAUGAAAUUUGCUUACAAUUUUGCAGAUCUUGGUCUCAAAGAGAGCACUGAAAACAACAAACAAGGGUUACAAAGCCCCAUGCCCUCUUUCUUUGUCCCUUCAACACAUUUUAUGUUAGGGCUGUAGUGUGGAAAAUGAUUGAUUAGGGGUUUCAAAUUUGUGAUUUUGGGUCAUUUACUAAGUGAGUUGGUAUUUGUUGUCUAACAUCUUGAGUAUUAUUACACAUUGUAUUAUUCUUUUUCUCAUCUUUUUUCCAUCAUAAUUGACUUCGGCCAAAGGCAAGUCCAGAGUUGUUAUUACUAUUUUGAAUAACUUGAGAUUCAACUAUAUCUUUAUUAUGACGAAUUAAACAACAAAAAUAAUAGUUUACUGUCGAAAAUGAUUUCACCUCUUUUCACUUUCACCUAAACAAACAGUACAUCGACGCCAAUAUCGACAACAAAAAAAAAAUCAAAGAAAAAGGACAAGUAUAUAUACAAGCAAGCAUUAUAAUUGACAUGACAAUAUUCACUAAUAGAAAUAAAACGAAGCAGGUAGCGUGCUAUCUAUUUCUCAAAAAAAAAAAAAAAAUCACCAAUAAACUCAUAAAAAAAAAUUCUUGAAAAAUGAUUUUUCAAGAACUAAUCAAACACCCAAAAGAGAACUAACAAAAAACCUUUCACAUCAGCCUAGUUAAAUUAAUUGUUGCAAAACUCCUUAGGUGAGCAAAGUGUUUUCUACUGUUAACCAUCAUAGAAAAAUUUGAGAAUAAGCUAAAUGAGCUGUAUUUGAAGGGCAUGCAUAAAAUUCUACCAAGCUCUGUAGAGGAGAAUCUCUAUGGUGCACGCAAAGUAUGAGACAUUUGCUUUCUCACUUGCUGGGACAAAGAGCAAUGCCAAUUGUGCGCAGGAAGAUAAUUUUUCUUUUAUUAAAUAGUAGAGAGAUAGAGCAUGCACCCAAAGGCCAAAGAAAAUUGUUUUUUUUAAUAUGAGUGAGAUAGAGAGAGAGAGAGAGAGAGAGAGGAGCUGCUCUUAUUUUAUUUGGGUGGAGUGGUCUUUCAGGAGUACAAUCGUCGUUACGGUGGCUCGAGAUGGAAAUGUAUUCUUAGGAACAAGUUAUCGGUAAAUUAUGUUUGUUGUUGUUGAUGCUAAUACUAAUUGGUCAUUGUGUAUAGGCCACAACAUAUAUUUUGAGUUCAUAGAAAUUUUGUCAUUGAAAGUUUUACUUUGAUUUCAAUUUCGUCUGUGGACGUAGACAGGUGCCCGUUUUGGUUUUUUAUAUUUUUGCGCCCGAUAAAUUAAAUCUUUUCUACUUUUGUUAUAAUAAAUUGGUAUGAGAACAAAUUUGAUAUUCAGUGUGAGUCACGAAUUUCUAACACGUACACACAUAUAUAUAAAUUAUGCUUUAUACUAUUAAUAGCAGCAAGCGCAUGCUGCUAUUCAGUUUGGUGCUAUCGAGUUUUCGACUGUUGGAUGAAAGGAUGUGCAAUUAGGAUGAUAGUGGUAUUCUAAGGUUGAGUAGAUGGUUGAUUAAAUAGUAUAAUCUCAAGGAUAAAAAUAAUCAAAUAGUAGAGCUAACGAUAGAAAACUCAAUAGUACCAAGAGUUUGGUACUAUCGAUAAUAUGAUAGUCAAACUCUCUCUCUCUCUCUCUCUCUCUCUAUAUAUAUAUAUAUAUAUAUGGGGGAUAUAAGUUUUGGUGUUCGAAUUGAAGCUAAUUUAUGACUUGUUCUUGUUUUUUGAUUCUUUGUCACUCUCAAUUGUUUCUGCAUUGCUUUUUAUCUACUAAAGUUGUUAGUGUGGUGAUGGUUGAUUGCUUAGUUUAACGUAUGCGAUUUCAUUGAGUAAUGUGGAAAUUAUGGGCCUGGACAAAAUUCUCUGCUAAAAAUUUAUUAGUGUUGGAUAUGAUUUGCAACGAAUUAAUGUUCGAUGUAUGAACAUCGGGUACGUCGGUUUUACUUUGUUGGUUUUUGUGGAGCUUGAUGAUGCCCCCUGUGUUACUGUCGUGAUCGUCCCUUGAAAUGUGAUAGCUUUGUACAUGUUAUAACUUCAAAGAGAUUUGGAUAAGAAUUGUAAUUUCACUUUCAGUUUGGAUGAGAUUUGCUUAGAAUUUUGCAGAUCUUGGUCUCAAAAAGAGCACUGAAAACAACAAACAAGGGUUAUAAAGCCCCAUGCCCUCUUUCUUUGUCCCUUCAACACAUUUUCUCUAAGGGCUGUACUGUGGAAGAUGAUUGAUUAGGGGUUUUAAAUUUGUGAUUUUUGGUCACUUACUAAGUGAGGUGGUAUUUGUUGUCUAACAUUUGAGUACUAUUACCCAUUGUACUAUUCUAUUAUUCUUUUCUUCAUCUUUUUUCAUCAUAAUUAAUUCGGCCAAAGGCGAGCUGAGAGUUGUUACACUAUUUUGGAUAACUCGAGAUUCAGUUACAUCUUUAUUACGACGAGUCAAACAAUAAAAAUAAUAGCUUACUGUCAAAAGCGACUUCACCUCUUUUCACUCUCACCCAAACAAACAGUGCAUCGACGUCAAUAUCAACAACAGAAAGAAAAUCAAAGAAAGAGGAUAAGUAUAUACAAGCAAGCAUUAUACUUGACAUGACAAUAUUCACCAAUAAACUCAGAAAAAAAAAUAUUCUUGGAAAAUGAUUUUUCAAGAACUAAUUAAACACCCAAAAGAGAACUAACAAAAAAACCUUUCACAUCAGCCUAAUUAAAUUAAUUGUUGCAAAACUCGUUAGGUGAGCAAAGUGUUUUCUACUGUAAAUCAUCAUAGAAAAGUUUGAGAACAAGCCAAAUUAGCUGUAUUCGAAGGGUAAGCAUAAAAUUCUACCAAGCUCUGUAGAGGAGAAUCUCUACGGUGCACGCAAAGUAUGAGACAUUUGCUUUCUCACUUGCUGGGACAAAGAGCAAUGCUAAUUGUGCACAGGAAGAUAGUUUUUCUUUUAAAUAGUAGAGAGAUAGAGGACAGAGAGAGAGAGCACCCAAAGAUGAUUGUGUUUUAAGUAAUAGAGAGAGAAAGAGAGGAGCUGCUCUUGUUUUGUUUUAUUUGGGUAGAGUGGUCUUCCAAAGGUAACAUUUUCUUGUGUUUAAGGUGUUAGGCAGUGUUUGAUUCGCGUACAAAAAAAAAUAUAUAUGUUUUUCUAAAAAAAAAUUUAAAAAAUGUAAAAAAAAAAAAAAAAAAAAAAGGGGAAACUUUAAAUACACCUGUGGUUUCGUACUUUCUUACUAUAGUACCUGUGGUUUAACGUAUAUCAAGUUAGUACCUUCUGGUUUCGCACUUUCUCACUUUACUAUCCUGUGGUUUCAAGUGUAUCAUGUUAGUAUCAUGUGGUUUCGCAAUUUCUCACUUUAGUACUCUGUUGUUUAAUAUUCUAGCUCAACUCUCUCUCUCUCUCUAUAUAUAUAUAUAAAGUCUGGCUACUAUACUCUUAUGAGUAUGAUCUCCUUUGUACUCAUAAAUUGAUUUUCGAUGAUAGAGCUUUCGAAUAUAUAGAACUAGACUGAAAUGCUAUCAAUAGCACCAAAUUGUUGGUGCUAUUAGUUUUCGGCUCUUGGACGAAGAAAUGUACCGUUAUAAUGAUAUAAACCUGCUAGGGUUGAGUGAGUUGUUGGUUGAAUAGUAUAAUCUAAUGGGUGAAAAUAGUCAAAGAAUUAAAUCUAAUAGCGGAAAACUAGAUAGCAUCAAGUGCUUAGUGUUAUCGAUAGUAUUCCAGCCGGAAUAUAUAUAUAUAUAUAUAUAUAUAUAUAUAUAUAUAUAUAUUAAAAGGUUAAUUGCACCAUUAAUUCAUCACCAAUUUUUAGUUGGUUUUCAAAUUGCAGCAUGCACAUAUAAGAAUGGAUGGAUGCCGGAGAAGGUGGGGAUGCAUGGCUAGCCCAGAAGAGCAUCUAAUUUAUAUUGCCGAUGCUGCUGCCAGCAGAUCUGGAUCUGGUGAAAGCGUCGGCACCAGAUCCGAUGAGGAGGAGGAUGGUAGUCUUCCUAGCAAACCUCAUGGGGAUGAGGAGUGGAUCAGAGAGGUGGAGAACAAAAUGUGCCGCGCACUCUUGGAUUCGAUGUUGUGGCCCUUCCAGUCCCCAGAUGAAAGAGAAACCACGAUUUGCAAGUUUACGCUGGGUAAGGAGAUCUCUCGGCCAAGGUUCGCGACGAUCGGGGAGUUCUCUCAGCCCAGAGUGGUGACAAUAGGGCCAUUUCAUCGGCAGGAGAGCACGAGUAUUUCCGACGACCAGAAAUGGGUGAUUGUGUGCUUCAUGAAUUUAUUGUGCGGUCUCGACUUGGCGCGCUGCCUCGUAAAGAUGAAAGAGGAAGCAAAAAAAGCUCGCAACAGCUACUCCGAUUUAGAUAUAUCGCAAAGCUCCGGCCCUAAAGACUACACAAGUUUCACAGAGAUGCUGCUCCUCGAUAGCUACUUCAUCUUGUUUAUCCUGACCGUUAAGAUACGCAAAAGACCGGCAGGUUAUACACUGAUGCCGCCAACACCUGAUUCUGCAAACCCACUCAAGUUGUUUCGCGACGACGCGACUAAAUUUCUCGACAUCAUAUUCAACAAAGACGAGAUCGCGCUCGAUCUACUGAUCCUUGAUAACCAAAUCCCCUUCUUCGUGAUCGAGGAGCUAUUUAAGGAGCUCAAGUUGGAUAAGCCCCUCCUCGAGUACGCCCUCGAGUUCUUCGAGAUGAUCCAUCCGAGGUCUGCCCGACAUUUCAUAGACGAGAAUAUUAGUCCUCCCAAAUUCCUACAUCUGCUCGAUCUUUUCCACUGGUCUCGGGUCCCGCAGAACAAGUACAUCGAACCAAUUAUUAGUUCGUCUUCUAAACAGCUAGAUUCUAUAUACUGGGCACCCUAUACUCCGAAUGCGAUGGAACUCAGAGAAUCCGCAACAAUGUUCGAAAAGAAGACGUCCGGCAGCAGCUCGCUAGAUAUCACAUUUCGGAGGCGUUGGUUUAAACACAUUAUUGGGGUGCUCGACAUCCCGGAGCUACACAUCCGCGACUAUAGCAGCUUCAUCUUCCAUAACCUCAUCGCCUUCGAGAUGCAAUCUUCAAGCCGGGGCCGCUGCACCGUGGCCUUUUCUGCACUUAUGCGCAACUUUCUGCAAAGAGAGGAAGAUGUGAAGCUGCUUCGGCAGAGAGGCAUCUUGGUGAGCUCGUCCAUGACCGACAGACAACUCAUCGAUCUCUUCGCGCGCUUGAGCAGAUUGACUGAAAACCAUCAAAUGCCGAGCGAUCUGUUUAACAUAUGCCAUCAGGUCCUAUCUCACCACAACCACCCAGUGAAUCAGUUCUGCGGCAGCGUCAUUAUCCGGUACUUCCCCAGCCCACUGGUGACUCUUUCUGUAUCUGCCGCCGCCGUGCUUUUUGUUCUCAGCCUCUUGCAAACCAUAUAUGCUAUGAUCAGUUACCACCACCUUGGGUGAAUGCUCUACCUACACGUUGUAUUACCUAGUAUGAUAGUACUGCAUGCAUAUGUUACUGAAGUAAAACACGGAUUGUAUUUCCAAAUUCCAAUUGGGUUUGGGUGGGUAUGUAUUUACAUCUAACUUCCUCUCCUCUGUAAGUUGCUGCCUAGUUUAAUUGGUGUUCUUACUCGUUAUUAAUGCAAUGAUUUUUUAUUUAUAUGAAUUUUCUCACAAUCUCUUAUUCAAUCUCCUAAUUAAGCAAAUGUCAAGAAAAUGACGAUGGAACAUGUAAUUAAAUAGAUUAAUUGCAAUCCCAAGUAAAACCCGUAAAACCCGUUGUUAAGAAUAGUAUUUCAGGGACGAAGCGAGAAAUUAAGAUUCGGAGGGGCCAAGAUUUUAAAUUUGAUAGGAAAAAAAAUUGGACCUUAGAUAAUAAGAAAACAAAUUUGUGAGAUUCACUAAUCAGUUAUUACUAGAAAUAAUAAUGACAAUAUGUUCAAAGAGGAACAAGACUAAGAGUUGGAAAAAAAAAAAAAACCAAGAAAUUUGAAAAAAAAAAAACACAAAUUUAUUAAAAAAAUUAAUUUGGCCCCGUAAAAUUAAAUUUUAUAAUAUUUUAAUUUUUAUUACAAAGGACUUUUAUAUAAUUUUAAAAAAGUUUGAGGGGUCAUGACUACUGUGACCUCAAUCGGCCCGCCCCUGGUAUUUGAAGCACUUUUUUUUUUUUAAGAGAGAUAGAUAACAUGAUAUUCGUUUUGUUUAUUUUAUUUAGAAAUAAAUUUAGCUAAAAAUAUGAAUCAACUAGGAUUCAAAUUCGGGAUCUCGAAUACUAACCAUCAAAUCCUUGACCACUUACACUAGAAACGGUCGGUGUAUUUGAAGCACUUAACAAUACCAAAUAUAACCUAUUAGAUAUCAAGCUGGUCAACAGAUCAAUGCAACUAGUGACUCAACAUAAUUAAAAUCUAAUAUAACCAUUUCAUUUUCCGCAACAUUAAGAAACAUCAAAUUUCUCUCUCUCAAAAAAAAAAAAAAAAUCAAAUGAAGAAAAAGAUAAACUUUAGCCUACCUCCAGUUAGGGAUGUCAAUGGGUAUGCAUAUCCAAAAUAUUAUUCGAACCCGAAUUCGAACGGGACGGGUUUGCCCGAGCUAAACGGGUAUGAAUUCAGUUAUGAAUAUAGAAAGUAAAACCCGACGGAUAUGAAUACGGAUAUGGAUUUUGUAUUUACCCGACCUGAACCCGAAUAAAUUAUAUAUAUACAUACUUUAUUUUUAUUUAUUUAUAUAAAAUAUAAAAUAUUUAAUAAUUUUUAUCUCUUAGAUCUUCAUUCAACGGUAUGGAUAUUUAAAACCCGCCGGGUCCGGAUCCGGGAUUGAAUUUCGGAUUUUUUGUCGGGUACGGAUAUAGCUAUGGAUUUUUAAAAUCCGCCCGCUUCGAAUUCGGAAACGAGUUUUAAUUUGGUUUUCGGGUUCGGAUUCGAAUUUUUAAAAAUCCAAUCCAAACCCGACCCUGUUGACAUCCCUACUUCCAGUUAAACUUUACUAUUCGAUAAUUUUAUUUUUAUAAAUAGCAAAGUGCAAACUUUUACAUUACAUAUCAUAAACUAAUAAACAUGUGAUACUAUUAACUAAUUUACGUUUAGAUACAUCACCCAUUUAAAAUUUUCUAAACCGUUGAAGAUGGCACCAAAAUAAAGGAAAACUAUUUUUUUUAAAAAAAAAAACUAAAUAUGAAGUUAAUUAAUAAUAAAAUAAAAUGCUUUUUGUGUUCAUCAAGUAAUACUCGUCUAAAAUUGCUACUUAGUCCCUACAGCAACAACAUAUUGCAAUUCGCUCCCCACAACGAUUCGAACGUUCUAAUCCGAGUCUAAUUCCUCUUUACUCUUUCCUAUAUAUAUAUACUCUUUAUUAUUACCUCCUCUCUUCGUCCUCGCGAGCGCGAUCAUCUCCAACGCUCUCUCUCUCCUCUAGGGUUUCGCUUCUCUAGAAUUUCGUUUCGAUCCGCUUCUUCGCUCUUCUAGAAUUUCGAUUCGAUUCUCCAUGGCGGAAGCCGAAGCUCCCAUGGUGGCGACCGAAGCGAAGGCGAAGGUGGAGGUGGAGGCGAAGGCGAAGGUGGAGGAGGUGGCGGAGGUGAAGGAGAAGGGGCCUGGCCAUUACCAGAUCGAGCACCCCUACCUGUGCAUCGGCGAGCCUAGGGUUGAGUACGUCCCCUCCUCUCCCACACCCUCCUCCACCGUCGUAGUCGAGAUCACGUGGAGGAGGGCGACGCAGUGCGUCACCACCAUCAACGGCACCUCCACCCUCGACCGCCGCGGCCCCGUCGAAACCCUAGGCUCGUCCUCCUCCUCCUUCGACGUCCCCGCGCUCCUCGCGGCCUCGCCCGACUGCCACGGGGUGACGAACUCCGCGGGGGACGCGUGGUUCGACGUGUUCGCCUCCUUCCCCGCCGCCGCCCACCUCGCCCCCUUCCUCCCCGGCUCCCUCUUCGACGCCCUCUCCUUCCACCUCAACAAGGCCAUCGCCGAGCGACCGCCCCCGCACCUCUCCGACGCCGUCCUCUACAAGCAGGAGCUCACCAUCCUCGACACGCACAUCCACGACGACCGGCUCGUCGCCAUCCGCGAUUUCCUCGGCGAGAUCGGCGCGGCGACGCGGCUCGCCGGCGCCAGGUGCGGCGCGUGCCACACGCUGCACCGCAGGGAGUUGGACUUCCUGAGGUUGCCCUGCUCCCACGCCUUCCACACCCACUGCAUCUUCAAAGAGUUCCGGAGCGACAUCCGAUGCCCCACCUGUCGCUGGAGAUAUCGCUAGAACGAUGCUUGAAUUUCUCNUGAUUAUUCUUCUCUUUAAGUUCGUAGCAAGAUCGCUAUAGAGGUCGCUGUCCACCCCGUAGCCUACAGCGAAAGUUUAGAUUAUGCAUAAUCUUAUUAAGAUUAUUUCUGAUUUUAUUAACAUUGCAUUCCUACUUGUAUUAGCAUUUAGUGAUUAUCAUCAUAAAUAUUAUAUGUUUUAUUUCAUUAAUUUGGUGCGAGUCGUGCAACAGAGAAAUAUAUUUUGUAGAGAACUUUGAUUGUACUAGAAAUCUCUGUUCUGUUUUCGUCUGUGGAGGUAGACCAGUGGCCUAUUUUCUUAUAUUUUUGCGUCCGACGGAUUAAAAUUUUUUUACUUUUUUUAUAAUAAAUUGGCAUGAGACCAAAUCUGGUAUUCGGUGUAAAUCGCGAAUUUCUAACACAUAUCGAUAUUUGGUUGCACGAGGGACAUAAGUUUUGGUGUUUGAAUUGAAGGUAAUUAAUGACUUGUUCUUGUGCUUUGAUUCUUUUGUCACUCUCUAUUGUUUCUGCGUUGCUUUUUACCUGGUGAAGUUGUUAGUGUGGUGAUGGGUUGAUUGUUUAGUUUACCAUUGAAAAUGAAUUAUUAGCAUGGAGGGCUCUGUGCUAACCAAAGCAUUCUAAUCGCACUUGUUACAACGAGUGCACAAAUAAAAACAAAAAAUAAGCAAUUGCAAAAUAGACAAAUCACAAGACAGUAAAAAAAAUUGAACACAAGGAUUUAUAUAGAAAAUUUUUUUCAUGAAAAAAAUCAUGAGCGAAGGAAGAGAGAACUUUACUGUGUAAAAAAGAGUAUAAUUUUUUUUGUAGAAAUACAAUAUGCAGUAUCGUCUCUAAAACAAAAAAAAAAAAAAGAGAAGGGAGUUUAUUAACGGGUUUCUUCGUUAUCAGAUCUGAUUUGUAUCAGACUAUGUCAUUAGGCACAGCAAUUCCUGUCAAUGUGAUAAAAUUACUGUGAAACAACCGUUGUACUCUAAAAGCUUAAACUGUUAAAGAACGAUGUUUAAAUAUCUUUAUAUUUAACACUCCCCCCCUCAUGUCUAGACUCAAAACUUUUUAGUCGGCCCAUGACGUGGGUUUGAAUUCGAACUCAGAACCUCUUGCUCUGAUACCAUGUGAAACAACCGUUGUACUAUAAAAGUUUAAGCUGUUAAAGAACGGUGUUUAAACAUUUUUAUAUUUAAUAAUUACAGCUACAAUUGCCAUUGAGAAGCAUAUAACAACUGUUUUAUAAUAUUUUACUUCAACAGUAUUAAUUAUCAGUUCAAAUAUUUUUUUAUUUUGAAAAAAAGAAAGAAAGAUGCUCUCUCUCUUUGUAGAGGAGAAUCUCUAUGGUGCACGCAAAGUAUGAAACAUUUGCUCUCUCACUUGCUGGGACAAAGAGCAAUGCUAAUUGUGCACAGGAAGAUAAUUGUUCUUUUAAUUUAAAUAGUAGAGAGAUAGAGGACCCAAAGGCCAAAGAAAAUUGUUUUUUAUGUGUGUGUGUGUGUGUGAGAGAGAGAGAGAGAGAGAGAGAGAGAGAGAGCACCCAAAGAUGAUUGUGUUUUAAGUAAUAGAGAGAGAAAGAGAGGAGCUGCUCUUGUUUUGUUUUAUUUGGUUGGAGUGGUCUUUCAGAGGUAAUGUUUUCUCCUAUUUAAGCUGUUAGGCAGUGUUUGGUUUGGAUAUAAAAAGAGGAAUAAAUUUUUAUUCUUCUUCUUAUAUCCAAACGUUAUUAUUGGAGUUGAAAAAUUAUAGUUUUUCUUUAUUAGGAAUAAAGGUGGAACGGUUGUUUCGUCCUCCCAUGGAAACAAGAUUGUUCUCAAGUAGAACAAGCUUAAUUAAAAAUUAAAUAUAAUUUUGAUUCUUGUAUUAACUUGUUAAUUAAUCUAAUUAAUAUGUUUAAGUAAUUAUCUAUCUAUUACUUCAAUAAUUAAGUAAUUAAUUAAUCUAUUAUUUGUGGUUAAUUAGUUUGUAAGAACUAAUUAUUUAACGUGUUUAUCUAAUAACUAAUGUUUACAUUGGCCAACUAGUUAAUAUUGUGGCAAUUAUAUUAAUUUCUUAACAAAUCAUCUAAUUAGUUAAAUAAUUUACUAAUUAAUUAGAAAAAUUAAGUUAUAUUUUAUAAUUAAUUAAUUAAUUAAUAUAUUUUUUAUUAUCUUAUACAAUAUUCAUAGCUAAUAAAUUUUUUUAUUUUAUUAAAUUAUUUUUAAUUAAUAUUAUGAUGUUAAUUAAUUAGAUAAAAUACUAUUAAAUUAUAAUUAUAAUUAUUUUUGUUCUCGAUAUUCUAAUCUAACCAUUCAAUUAUUAUUUAUCUUAUUUUCAGAAACAACCCAAUUUUCAUCCAAAUGAAAAACUAAUGUUGUUUCUACUUAUUCCUGAAAUUGUAUCUAUCAUAGGAAUAACAAUUUCUAUUUAUUCUUGAUCUAAAUGAUUUAGCGAUUCAAUAAUUUUAGGUAUUCAAUACUUUUAUUUAUAAUUGGACUCAAAAUAUUCUAAUACGGUUAAGCCAUGAACUUAGGGUACUGUAUUUGGUUCGAAGUUGGAAUCAGGAUCGGAAUCGGAAUGAGAAUAUGUUGAAACGGAAUCAGAAUGAUUUAUUAUUUCAUUUUGUUUGGUUCGUUACCUGAAUUGAAAUUGGAAUGAAUUAUUUUUAUUGUCGAUGUUUGAUAUAAGUAGAUAUCAGAAACGUAAUUAAAUUAAUAUGCCAAUUUUAUCUUUAUAAUAUAUUAGUUUAAAUUCAAACUAAAAAUUAAAUACUAAAAAUUUACGUCAAAAUUUACAAUGAUGUCACAAUUUUAAAUAUAUAUUUUUUAAACAAAUUAAAAUUUGAAAUUGAACGGAUAAUUCAAAAUAUAAAACUAAAAUUAGAUUUAUUUAAAUUCAAACUUAAAAUUAUAAUUUCAAUUUCAAUUUGAAUCCAUAAAUUUAAUUUAAAUUUUAAAUAAAAUUUGAAUAAAACUUUAGAUUUUGAAUUAAAUUUAAAUUUAAAUUCAAAUUUAUAAAUUAGAUUCGAAAUGCUUGAUUAAAUUUUAAUUUAAAUUUAAGUUCAAAUUUAAAUUUAAAUUUAUAAAUAUAAUUUUUAAACUUAAACUUAUGUUUUAAUUAGAAAAUAAGUUUAAAAAAAUUAAAUUUAAUCCGAACAAAUCCAUACCGCCCUGAUUCAAUUUCCAAUCCGGCCUCCUAGGCCGGAUUGGAAAAAAGGAUAAUUAGGAGAUUUCCAUUUAUCCGGAAAUCGGAAUCGGAAUAAAAAUUCUGCAUACCAAAUCCGGACAAAUGGAUUUGUCUAUUCCGAUUCUAAUUUCACGGUAAAAAUGGGCCGUACCAAACGUGCCCUUAAUUUAAAUAAGAGAAAACUAAAUAAGGUUGCAAGUUUGACUCAAACUUAGAAUAUUCUGCUUCGAUAUUAUAUAAAAUUAUGUGAAACAAGCGUAAAUUUUAAAAGUUUAAAUUUUUAUAUAACAAUAUUUUUAAUAUCAUAUCCAUAUUUAUAUUUAACAAGUUUGCGUGUGCGUGUGUGCGCGUUUCUUUUUUGAAUAAAAAUAUAUGGUUUCUACCGUACCCAUUGCAGCUCGCUAAAACGUUGAUAGUUGGUACCAGAGUACCAGACGUCCCAAGUUUCAAAUUUAAUUACUAUACCUUUCUAACUAAAUUUAUUUCUUAAAUAAAUAAAUCAAGGAUGCCAGAAACCUUCUAAUGGGAAAUUCUACUGCAAAUUUUCAGAUUGAGGCCUUUGAGUUCUUUUGAAAUCAAGUGCUUUUAGUCAAAAAAAUAAUAAUAAUAAGAGUUUAUCAAACGAUUGAUGAAUUUAGUAAAUUAAUAAUUUAAAUCAAUCUUUUAGAAAAUAAAACUAAACAAAUUAACAAUUAAUACAAUGAAUAAAUUUGAUAAAAAUAUUAUUCUAAUUAGAAGUUGUUUGGUUCUAUGGAAAAGUAUGGAAUAAAGUUUUUUGGGAAAAAGGUUUUUUAUGGAAAAACCUAUUGUUAAGUUUUUUAUCGGUUUGGUUCUAAGAAAAACAAUUUUUUUUUUUAAAUCCAAAUUUUACAAAAAAACUAGUGUUUCGUUUUUUGAACUUUUUUUUAAGGAAAACAGAAACACUAGUACUUUAUAAAUUUGAAAAAAUUUUUUCAAAAAAGCUAGUUUUUUUUAGAAUCAAACAUGCAAAAAUUAAAAAGGAGUUCUCCAUAAAGAACUCUUUUCUUAAAAAAAAAAAAAAAAAAAAUUCCACACUUUUUGGAGGAAUCAAAUAGCCCUUUAAAUAUGAAAUCUAUUUUAGAAUGGCCAAAUUUUUUUCUAUUUGGUUGGACUAUUAUUUUUCUCUUCCUAUUUGUUUUGAUAAACGUGAUGCUACUACGUGCCUUAAGAGCUAUGCAAUGUUUCGGUUUUUUUUUUUUUUAUUUCAUUUGUUUUCAGCACACGGGGUAUUUGGGGGUUUAGUUUGCAGGAGAAGUAAAAUUUUGUCUAGAUAAGUAAUUUUUGUUCUCAUCGCUUUUAUCUUCUUAUACAUAACUUGUCUAUGAACUAUUUUUCGAAUCGGUUAAUCAACCUUUAAAAUUUUUAUUUUACUGUCAAAUCUUUCAAUUUGUUUAAUUUGAAUCAAUUAAUAAUAUUUGACUUUGAAAUUUACGCCAAUUACUUCACUGAAUUUGUAGUUGCGAAAAUUGUACAAAAUAUACUAUCUAAAUCUGUAAAAAUAAGCAAAAUAGUUAAAUUUUGAAGUCAAAAUAUCGUUGGCUAUCUCAAAUCAAGCAAAUUAAAAAAUUGGGCAGUAAAAUCAAAAUUUAAAAGAUUGCUUAACCGAUUCAAAAUGGCUCAUACUUCAAGUAAUUAAUUUCUGUACAUUUUUAUAUAUAUAUUUUUUUUUAAGGUUAAUUAAUUAAUUAAUUGCACCAUUAAUUCAUCACCAGUUUUCACUUGGUUUUCAAAUUGCAGCAUGCAUAUAUAAGAGUACUGGACGCCGGAGAAGGGGGGAUGGCUAGCCGAGAUCAAGAGCAUCGAAUUUCUAUUCCUGAUCAUAAUAAUGCUGGUGGAUCUGGUGUCAGUGUCGGCCCCGGAUUCAUUAAUGAGGAGGACGUGUGUAGUCUCCCGAUCGAACCGGCCGAUUUGGGUGAGGAGUGGAUUCGAGAGGUGGAGGACAAAAUUGUUUCCGCAUUCGAAGAUUCGACAGUACUGUGGCAUUCGGAUUUCAAGGAUGAAACAGGACCUAAGAUUUGCAUGCUGCCGCUGCGUGACUCUCAGCCAAGGUUGGAGACGAAAGGGGGGCUUUCCCAGCCAAGCGUGGUGACAAUAGGGCCAUUUCAUCGGCAGGAUAGGGUGAGUAUUUCCGACAAAGAAAAAUGGAUGAUUGUGGGCCUCAUGAAUCUUUUGUGUGGUCUCGACUUGGCGAGCUGCCUCGUAAAGAUAAAAAAUCAAGUAGCAAACGCCCGCAACAGCUACUCCAAUUUAGAUGUAUCUGAUCAAAGCUCCGGUUUUAAAGAUGACAAAAGUUUCGCAGAGAUGCUGCUGCUUGAUAGCUACUUCAUCUUGUUUAUGUUGACCAUUAAGUUACGUAAAGGACCGACAGAUUAUACAUUGAUGCCGCCAACACUUAAUAAGUUUACAGAGCCGCCGCUUAAGCUGUUUCAAGACGACCAUUUCAAAUUUCUCGACAUCAUAUUCAACAAAGAUGAUAUCGCACUUGAUCUGCUGAUCCUCGAUAACCAAAUCCCUUUCUUUGUGAUCGAGGAGCUACUUAAGGAGCUCGAGUCGGAGAAGCCUCUCCAUGAGUAUGCCCUCGAGUUCUUCGAGACAAUCCAUCCAAGGUCGGCCCAACAUUGCAAGGACAAGAAUAUUAGUCCUCCCGAAUUCCUACAUCUGCUCGAUCUUUUCCACUGGUCUCGGGUCCCACAGAACAAGUACACCUUGCCUCGACAGCUAGAUUCUAUUGACUGGGUACCCCAUACUCCGAAUGCGAUGGAACUUAGAGAAUCCGCAACAGUGUUUGAAAAGAAGACGUCCGGGAGCUCAUUGGAUAUCACAUUUCAGAGACGUAGGUUUAAAGGCAUUAUUGGGGUGCUCGACAUCCCAGAGUUACACUUCCGCAACUAUAGCAGCCUCAUCUUCUAUAACCUCAUCGCCUUCGAGAUACAAUCUUCAAGCCGGGGUCGCUGCACCAUGGCCUUUUCUGCACUUAUGCGGAACUUGCUGCAAACCGAGGAAGAUGUGAAGCUGCUUCGGCGAAGCGGCAUUUUGGUGAGCUCAUCCAUGACCGCCAGCCAACUCACUGAUCUCUUCGAACGCUUGAGCAGAUUGACUGAAAACCAUCAAAUGCCAAGCGAUCUGUCUGCAAUUUGCGAUCAGGUCCUGUCUUACCACAAUGACAGAGCGUAUCAAUUCUUCCGCUUCAUCAUUCUCUGGUACUUCCCCAACCCACAGGCGACUUUUUUGGUAUUUGUUUCUGGCUUGCUUUUUGUUCCCACCAUCUUGCAAACCAUAUACGCUAUGAUCUACCAUAGUUGAAUGCUCUACAUGUUAUUAUCAUCUUGUAUGAUAGCAAGGAGUCUGUAUUUUACUGAAAUAAAAAACUUGUAUUGUACUACCAAAUGGGUUGUUGUUAAAUUUACUAUGUAACAUCCUCUGUACGUUGCUACCUACUUUGGUGUCCCUGCAUGCUUGUUAUUAAUGCAAUGGCUUUUUAUUUAUACGAAUUUUCUUCACACAAGUGACUAAUUAGAAUGAUAUCUCUGAAGCAUAUAGAGAGUUUAUGAAAGGAUUUAAGUGCUCGUGUCGUGCGCGCAUGUAAACAGUGGAGUGCGCAAAUCUCUUCAAUCUCCUAAGCAAAUGUCUAGAAAAACGAUGGAAUACAUUAGUAGAUAGCAAUCCCAAGUAAAACCCGUUAAGAAUAGUAUUUAAAGCACUUAACAAUCCGAAAUAUAGCCUAUUAGAUAUUGAACUGAUCAACAGAUCAAUGCCCCAAAUUAAAGUUUUAAAUCACCAAAUAAGUAACAAACUCCAACAGUUCUUACUCAACUCCUUGCUUUUGCCAACAAUUUGAUACCUAAACAGGAGUACUCGAAGCGUAUCCUUAAUUAGCAACAUCAAAUAAUUUAUCUUAUAUUUCUUUGAUCUACAAUGAAAACAUCAAAAAUAGCAAUAAUUAGGAUUUGAAGCUACAAAAGUUAUCUUAAAUGCUAAGGCUCUCUCAUAUAUAGCCCAUGAUAUACAAAUUUCUUAUAAGCUGCUCUGAAGCUGGAAAAUCCUUGAUUAGUCAUCACAUACGCAAUUCAACAACAAAAAAACAAUACAAAACAAAACAAAACAAAACAAAACAAAACAAAAAUCCAAAGUAAUCAAUAAAAAGAACAGUUGAUAUAUAGAGACACAGAAAGAGAGAGAAAUCGACAUAUAAAUACUCUUUGAAAAAUCUGAAUUUUUGUGCAUGCCUUUAGAAAGAUCAACUUGUUAGAAAUAAACUUAUAAAAACACUACCUUAUACGAAAAAAAAAAAAAAGUUUUUCAAUAAGAUUGCUUAGCCGAUUCAAAAUGGCUCAUACUUCUUAGCCGAUUCAAAAUGGCUCAUACUUCAAGUAAUUAAUUUCUGUACAUUUUUAUAUAUAUAUUUUUUAAAAGGUUAAUUAAUUGCACCAUUCGUCACCAAUUUUUACUUGGUUUUCAAAUUGCAGCAUGCAUAUAUUAGAAUGGACGCUGGAGAAGGGGGGAUGGCUAGCCCAGAAGAGCAUCGAAUUUCUAUUCCUGAUCAUAAUGCUGGUGGAUCUGGUGUAAGUGUCGGCCCCGGAAUCAUUAAUGAGGAGUACCUGAGUAGUCUUCCUAGCGAUCCACCGAAUGCGGAUGAGUGGUGGAUUAGAGAGAUGGAGUACAGAAUCGAGAGAGGACUCGCCGAUUCGACACUCCGGCCCUCUAAUUUCAAGGAUGAAACAGAAGAUAAGAUUUGCGUGUCGACGCUGCACGAGAGGAUCUCUCAGCGAAGGUCGGAUACAGAAGAGGGGCUCUCUCGGCCAAGCGUGGUGAGGAUAGGGCCAUUUCAUCGGUGGCAUUCUUCGAGUAUUUCCGAGGAUGAAAAAUGGGUGAUUGUUGGCCUCAUGAAUCUUUUGUAUGGUCUCGACUUGAGGAGCUGCCUCGUAAGGAUAAAAAAUCAAGUAGCAAACGCUCGCAGCCGCUACAAUAUAGAUGAACUUCAAAGGUUCCGCUGUAUUAAAGAUCCGAUAAGUCCCUAUGAGAUGAGCGAUGAAAGGUCACGCUUUUACAAUGACAAAAGUUUUGCAGAGAUGCUGCUGCUAGAUAGCUACUUCAUCCUGUUUAUGUUGACCAUUAAGUUACGUGAAGGACCGACAGAUUAUACAUUGAUGCCACCAACACCUAAGUUUACAAAGGAGCCGCUUAAGCUCUUACAAGGCUACCAUUUUACAUUUCUCGACAUCAUAUUCAACAAAGAAGAGAUCGCGCCUGAUCUGCUGAUCGUCGAUAACCAAAUCCCCUUCUUCGUGAUCGUGAUCGAGGAGCUAUUUGAGGAGCUCAAUUUGGAUAAGCCCCUCUAUGAAUACGCACUCGAGUUCUUCGAGAGAAUCCAUCCAAGGCUCGCCCUACGUUCCAUAGACCAGCAUAGUCCUCCCAAAUUCCUACAUCUGCUCCAUCUUUUCCACUGGUCUCGGGUCCCACAGAACAAGUACAUCGAACUAAUUAUUAGUCCGUCGCCUCAACAGCUAGAUGUUUUUGACUGGGUAUCCCAAACUCUGAAUGCGAUGGAACUUAGAGAAUCCGCAACAUUGUUUGAAAAGAAGACGUCCGGCAGCAGCUCGCCAUUGGAUAUCACAUUCCAUAGACGUUGGUUCAACCGCAUUAUUGGGGUGUUCCACAUCCCAGAGUUACACAUCCGCGACUACAGCAGCCUCAUCUUCCAUAACCUCAUCGCCUUCGAGAUGCAGUCUUCAACCCGGGGCCGCUGCACCAUGGCCUUUUCUGCACUUAUGCGGAUCUUGCUGCAAAGCGAGGAAGAUGUGAAGCUGCUUCGGCAAAGACGCAUUCUGGUGAGCUCGUCCAUGACUGACAGACAACUCAUUGAUCUCUUCGCACGCUUGAGCAAAUUGACUGAAAACCAUCAAAUGCCAUACGAUCUGUUUGCAAUUUGCGAUCAGGUCCAGUCUUACCACAAGAACCUAGUGAGUCGAUUAUGCGGUGGCAUCAUUGUCCAGUACUUUUCCAAACCAGUGGUGGCUCUUUCUGUGUUUGUUGCUGCCUUGCUCUUCGUCCCCACUCUUUUGCAGACCAUAUAUGCUAUGAUCUACCAUAGUUGAAUGCUGAUCUACAUGUUAUUAUUAUCUAGUANGAUUUUACAUUAGUUUGGCUGCUACACACACACACACACACACACACACACACACACACACAAAAUGCAUGGAAUCUUACUCUGAUCCUGCACCAACAAAACUGAUGAAGAACACAAACAUACAAUAAGAAAUUAGUCCUUUUUUUUUCAAUAUUCUUGUGAAUAAAAUGAUAGACCAUAUAUCGGAGUCAUAUAUGAGUCCAGUACGAAUAAAAUAGAAGAACAUAAGCAGUAAGAUCGAGUUUAGGCAUCUAUUGCUCCUACAAUGAAAUUGAUAGACUACAAAAUGAGUUGUUGUUUUUUUUUUGCAACUCAUGCACUGAAAAACAAAAAACAGAGAGAAUAAGUAAUUUAGUAGUACGAUUUUAAUCUUGUUUGUGUGCCUGAUAAGGAAAAAAUAGAUUUGAGCGCCAAUAGAGAGUCCUAUUCCUUACAUGUUCCUGCACUACCGAAAUAGAACAUAAGCAGCAAAAACUUCACUCUUGUUUUAUAUUAAUUCUUGAACAAAUUGAGUGAAAUAUAUGUAGGAGUGUUAUAAUGUUACUGUGGUCCUGCACCGAGAAAUUAAAUGAACUUGAAAGCUUUUGUCGCGCGCGUCUCUUAUGUUCUAACUAAUCACUGGACAAUUAGUCAUAUUUUUUUAACUUUUGAAAGCAAUUGAUAUACUAGCAACAUAUGUUAUAUUAUUCAUUACAUUGCUUGUUUUACAAGACCAAUCCGUCCUGUGAGAAUAACAUCAUGUAUUAAUCACAGGGCGCAAUUAAUUAGCGCUAUAUUAAUUCCCUAAUUAUGUGUCCAAACCGUAAAGUAUAAGGGUAAAAAAAUAUAAAAAAUUCCUAAUGGAGGAUGCUAAUUAAAGACGAACCUGACUGCCGCUGUAUUCUUCAGAAAAUCGAAUCCUGAAACAAAUUAGAUAACCUUGUUAAUUAAGAUCGAACGAGAUGUAGCUCAUUAAAAUCGAAAUGAAUUGCGUUAAUCGCAGAGAGUAGCAGGGGCGAGAUGAAGGAUGGUAAAGUAAACAUACAAUUUCGUCAUCGUCACUCCGCAACUGCCUGGUAAAUCCACACGUCAGGGACUAUGUUGCACAGAUACGGAUACGGGGAUACGGAUACGACACGAUACGGAUACGGUGAUACGGCAAUUUCUAAAACUUCUAGGAUACGAUACGCGGGAUAUACUUAAAUAAAAUAUUAUUUUAAAUAUAUUUAAAUGUAUGUUGAUUAUAUGUAAUGAUAUAUUGAGAACAAUUAGAAUAUCUAGACUAUAUUAAGGAAUAUAUUCUAAUAUGCAUUAACUUGUAUAAUUAUUUUACAUAUGUUCAAAAAAAAGACAAUCAAUCAUAUAAAAUAAUAAUUCAAAAAGUAUCAAACCAACUAUCAUUCAACUUGAUCAAAUGAUAACAAUAAAUAUAUAGUCGCACAAACUAGAUAAUUAGCCAUUCAAUAUAUAUGUCUGAUUUGUUAGUUCUAUUAUUAAAAUAGUAAUAAAAAAAUAUGCUAACAAUUUAAUAGAGAAGGGAAAAAAAAAUCAUAUUUUCUAUAGCCUUUGUUGCUUAAUACUAGGUUGACAAAUUAGAUGGAAGAGAGUAAAUACUGUGUGAAGAUAGAACAAGAGGGAGCGCCUUCUACCAUUCAAGAACAAAAAAAUAGAUGAAAUGACAAAUUGAACAGAUAUUGGUGUUUUUCUCACUCUUUUCCUUCUUUCCAAUAGGUUUGGACGUGAGCUUUUAAAAAAUUUUAAGUUUCAAUCAUUUUAGACCAAAAAAGAACCGGGCCGUGUCCCCCCCGUAUCCCCCCGUAUCCCUCACGUAUCCGAGCCGUAUCCGAUAUUUUUUUAUUUUUUAAAAAUGCCAGAUACUUCAUUCCCGUAUCGGACACGUAUCGGGCGCGUAUCGGGCGCGUAUCGGUAUCCGACCCGUAUCCGAUACAGAUACGGCAUGAAAUUUGAAGUAUCCGUGCUUCAUAGAACGAGAGGGAGCGCCUUCUACCAUUCAAGAACAAAAAAAUAGGUGAAAUGACAAAUUGAACAGAUAUUGGUGUUUUUCUCACUCUUUUCCUUCUUUCCAAUAGGUUUGGACGUGAGCUUUUAAAAAAAUUUUAAGUUUCAAUCAUUUUAGACCAAAAAAGAACCGGGCCGUGUCCCCCCCGUAUCCCCCCGUAUCCCUCACGUAUCCGAUAUUUUUUUAUUUUUUAAAAAUGCCAGAUACUUCAUUCCCGUAUCGGACACGUAUCGGGCGCGUAUCGGGCGCGUAUCGGUAUCCGAUACGUAUCCGAUACGGAUACGGCAUGAAAUUUGAAGUAUCCGUGCAUCAUAGCUGCCCCCUCUGGAAAAAUUUACAUAGACUCAACGCCCCGUUCCUCACCUCGGUCGACUUUAUCCUGGGCGAUGGCAAAGACACACGUUUUUGGAGUGUGCGAUGGGGCGGGGAUGUUGCACUUCGAAACCGCUUCCCUACCUUAUAUGCGGCCUCUACAAAUAAUAAAUUCUGUGUCUUUACCUGGACUCGCCGCUUCGCUUCAAAGAUCAACCUAGGAUUCAAUUGUCCCACAUGUCAUGAAGAACAAUCAGAACUCCACCAGCUACGUGUGCUGUCCAGCAGCAUUGUCCUCUCAGCUGGCACUCAAGAUGUACCUACUCGGAGAUGGAAUAGCUCUGGUAAGUUUUCGGUGCGAAGUGCCGCGGACUUUCUUUCGUACGAUGGUAUCAACAACACCGCCCUCUACUUCCUGUGGAAGCUCAAGGUACCUCUCAAAGUAAAACUAUUCUUUUGGCUCGCCUUGCGCAAUAAGAUUUUGACGGGUGAUAAUUUAGCGAAACGCGGCUGGCAUGGACCGACUAUUUGUGUACUCUGUUUUGAAGAUGCUGAGCCACUACAACACAUUCUAUUGCAUUGUUUAUACGCAAGAUCUGUUUGGAACUGGUUGAAUUUCAGAACCUCAUCUACUCAUGUUUCGAACUCCACUCCACCCGAUGGAAUUGCAACACGUUGGUGUCGCCUGAGGACGAACGAGGCUGGAGAAAUUAAGCAUUACCAACUUUGAUCUGACUUUUGCAGCAACAUGCUGGGAGCUAUGGAAGGAGAGAAACAGGCGUAUUUUCGACAAUCAGCUAGUUCGAAGCGACGCCUUGGGAAGAUGUAUUAUAGAAACUGUUCAUUUCUAGAGUUGUGUUUUAGGUAGUUCAGCUACUUAGAUGUUCUGUGUUCUUUUCCUUCUGCUUUUGUCAGUUUCUUUGGUGUUUUGUGCUCUCUUUCUUUUGCUUUUGUGAGCCUCCACGAUUGUGGUUUUGUUUUCCUCCCACUGAUCUCUCAAUCAGACCCAGUUGUUUCCAAAUAGGGUUCAUCCCUGUUUAAUCAAAAAAAAGAAUAGUAUUUCGAUCACUUAUUAACAAUCCCAAAUAUAACCGAUCGUUCCUAGCGCAAGUGGCAAAAGACUUGAUGGUUGGUAUCCAAGGUUCCAAGUUCGAAUUCUAGUUGAUUUACAUGUAUACAUAAAUUUAUCUCUAAAUAAAAUAAAUAAAGUGGGUAGCAUACUAUCUAUCUCCUAAAAAAAAAUCAAAAACAAAAAACAAUUCCAAAUAUAGCUUAUUAGAUAUUGAGCUGAUCAAGAGGUCAAUGCCCCAAAUUAAAAUUUUAAAUCGCCAAAUAAGUAACAAACUCCAACAGUUCUUACUCGAACACUCCUUGCUUUUGCUAAUAAUUUGACUUCUAAACAAGAGUACUCGAAGAGUAUGUUUAAUCAACACCAUCAUAUAAUAUAUCUCAAAUUUCUUUAAUCUACAAUUAAUGAAAACAUCAAAACUAGAAAUAAUUUAAUUUUGAAGCUACAAAAGUUAUCUUUAAUGCUAAGGCUCUCUCUUAGCCCGCAGAUUAGCCUACUUGCAAUUAUAUUUUACUAUUUUGUAAUUUUAUUUUUGUAAAUAGCAAAGUGCUAAAUUUUAUAUUACAUGUCAUAAAACAAUAAACAUGUGAUACUAUUAACUAUAGGAAAAACUUCAAAAACCCCCUUGUGGUUUCGUAGUUUUUCACUUUGGUCCCUGUGGUUUAAAAUGUAUCAAUUUGCCGCCCUGUGGUUUUAUUUUUUUCUUUUUCUUAUCAAUUUCAUUAUUUUUUUUUCUUAAAUCAGUAAUAAAGUUAAAAUUAAAGGGUACUAAAGUGAAUAUUUGAUAAAUCUAGAUGGGUAUCUGAAGUUUUUUAUAUAUAAUUUAACGAAAUAUUAACGAAAAAGCUACCGAAAAGAUAAAAACGAAACCACAUGGGGGCAAAUUGAUACACUUUAAACCACAGGGGGGCAAAGUGAGAAACUACGAAACCACAGGGGGGUUUUUUGAAGUUUUUCCUANGGUUUGAAGUUUUCCCUUAACUAUAUAAUUCACGGUAUGAUACACUACCAAUUUAAAAUUUUCUAAAACGUUGAAGAUGACACCAAAAUAAAGAAUAAUUAAUUUUUUGAAGGAAAGCAUGACGGAAAAAAAUAAAAAAAGAAACAAAAAAAACUAAAUAUGGAGUUAGUUAAUUAAUAAUAAAACUUUUCCUAUAUUCAUCAAGUAAUACUCGCCUAAAAUUGCGACUUAGUCCCUACAGCAACAACAUAUUGCAAUUCGCUCCACACGACGAUUCUAAUCCGAGUCUAAUUCCUCUUCACUCUUUCCUCUAUAUAUACUCUUUAUUAUUACCUCCUCUCUUCGUCCUCGCGAGCGCGAUCAUCUCCAACGCUCUCUCUCCUCUAGGGUUUCGAUCCUCUCUCUUCGUCCUCGCGAGCGCGAUCAUCUCCAUCUCUCUCCUUCGUUUCCAUGGCCGAAGCUCCCAUGGUAGCCGAAGCGAAGAAGGCCGAAGCAGAAGCUCCCAUGGUGGCCGAAGCGAAGAAGGUGGAGGAGGUGGAGGCGGGGGAGGACAAGGGCCCUGGCCAUUACCAGAUCGAGCACCCCUACGUGUGCAUCGGCAAGCCUAGGGUUGAGUACGUCCCCACUCCCACACCCUCCUCCUCUUCCACCGUCGUCGUCAUCGAGAUAACAUGGAAGAGGGUGCUCCAAUACGUCACGACGAUUAACGGCACCUCCACCCUCGACCGCCGCGGCCCCGUCGAAACCCUAGGCUCCUCCUCCUCCUCCUUCGACGUCCCCGCGCUCCUCGCGGCCUCGCCCGCCACCUACAAGACGGCGAACUCCGCCGGGGACGCGUGGUUCGACGUCGUCGCCUCCUUCCCCGCCGCCGCCCACCUCGCACCCUUCCUCCCCGGCUCCCUCCUCGACGCCCUCUCCUUCGACCUCGACAAGGCCAUCGCCGAGCGACCGCCCCCGCACCCGCACCUCUCCGUCUCCGCCACCGUCCUCUACAAGCAGGAGCUCACCAUCCUCGACACGCGCAUCCACGACGACCGGCUCGUCGCCGUCCGCGAUCUCCUCGGCGAGAUCGGCGCGGCGACGCGGCUCGCCGGCGCCAGGUGCGGCGCGUGCCACAUGCUGCACCGCAGGGAGUUGGAUUUCCUGAGGUUGCCCUGCUCCCACGCCUUCCACCGCAACUGCAUCUCCAAUGCGUUCCGGAGCGACACCCGAUGCCCCACCUGUCGCCGGAGAUUUCGCCGGAACGAUGCUUGAAUUUCUCUUCUUAUUAGAAUAAGAAAGCAAGCAUAAGUCUCCCCCACCCUGGUCCUUCUUUUUAAAUUAGGGUUUUAAUUGGAGAUAGGCUCAAGUUUUCUCGAAUUCUGUAAUCAAAGUUUAAGUUUAGAUUAUACAUAAUCUUAUUAAGAUUAUUUCUAACUUUAUUAACAUUGCAUUCCUACUUGUAUUAGCAUUUAGUGAUUAUCAUCAUAAAUAUUAUAUGUUUUAUUUCAUUAAUUUGGUGCGGCAGAGAAAUAUAUUUUGUAGAGCACUUUUAUUGUAUUAGAAAUCUUUGCUGUGG